AGUGAACGCUGGCGGUAGGCCUAACACAUGCAAGUCGAACGGCAGCACAGUAAGAGCUUGCUCUUACGGGUGGCGAGUGGCGGACGGGUGAGGAAUACAUCGGAAUCUACUUUUUCGUGGGGGAUAACGUAGGGAAACUUACGCUAAUACCGCAUACGACCUACGGGUGAAAGCAGGGGAUCUUCGGAUCUUGCGCGAUUGAAUGAGCCGAUGUCGGAUUAGCUAGUUGGCGGGGUAAAGGCCCACCAAGGCGACGAUCCGUAGCUGGUCUGAGAGGAUGAUCAGCCACACUGGAACUGAGACACGGUCCAGACUCCUACGGGAGGCAGCAGUGGGGAAUAUUGGACAAUGGGCGCAAGCCUGAUCCAGCCAUACCGCGUGGGUGAAGAAGGCCUUCGGGUUGUAAAGCCCUUUUGUUGGGAAAGAAAAGCAGCAGGUUAAUACCCCGCUGUUCUGACGGUACCCAAAGAAUAAGCACCAGCUAACUUCGUG
Molecule: ribosomal RNA, 492 nt
Filed under: uncultured bacterium
Lineage: Bacteria
Description: partial 16S ribosomal RNA
Rfam family: Bacterial small subunit ribosomal RNA
Source: RNAcentral